This 468-nucleotide ribosomal RNA is filed under the name uncultured bacterium. RNAcentral's name for it is "partial 16S ribosomal RNA". It matches the Rfam family "Bacterial small subunit ribosomal RNA", at positions 28 to 507 of the family's 1533-position model. The record is from RNAcentral.
GACGAACGCUGGCGGCGUGCUUAACACAUGCAAGUCGAACGGAAAGGCCCUGCUUUUGUGGGGUGCUCGAGUGGCGAACGGGUGAGUAACACGUGAGUAACCUGCCCUUGACUUUGGGAUAACUUCAGGAAACUGGGGCUAAUACCGGAUAGGAGCUCCUGCUGCAUGGGGGGGGUUGGAAAGAUUCGGCGGUUGGGGCUGGACUCGCGGCUUAUCAGCUUGUUGGUGGGGUAGUGGCUUACCAAGGCUUUGACGGGUAGCCCGCCUGAGAGGGUGACCGGCCACAUUGGGACUGCGAUACGGCCCAGACUCCUACGGGAGGCAGCAGUGGGGAAUAUUGCACAAUGGGCGGAAGCCUGAUGCAGCAACGCCGCGUGCGGGAUGACGGCCUUCGGGUUGUAAACCGCUUUCGCCUGUGACGAAGCGUGAGUGACGGUAAUGGGUAAAGAAGCACCGGCUAACUACGUG